Phacochoerus africanus (Common warthog) is the source of this 2215-nucleotide long non-coding RNA. RefSeq lists it as uncharacterized. The transcript is spliced from 2 exons. NCBI's taxonomy places the organism in Eukaryota, Metazoa, Chordata, Mammalia, Artiodactyla, Suidae. The record is from RefSeq and is a predicted model, not a curated record.
CUGCGCCACAAUGGGAACUCCUUAACCUCUUUUUAAAAGUCCAAAAAUGUUUAGGGCUAUGUAUUCCAAAGUAAAGAUUUAUAGACUUGUGUUUACAGAGAUAAUGAAAUUAUAAAUCUUUUGUUGUAAUACCAAAGAAGGGUUAUAAGAAUACCGGAAAUUUGGAUAGCAUCAAGAGGAGCGAUAACAUGGUAAUAGAUGUUUGAAACUGGCUGUGUAAAAAUACUAACAGAAUAAGCAAGGUCACCUUGAACCAUUUAGUCUGAGUGGCAUUUCAUGCAAAUACCCUUGAGGUUAGACUUAUUGAAGUCAUGACUUGAAUUGCUGCUAUCUUUGAGCUACUAAUCUGAAUGAGAGACUUGAAAUAUUGAGGUUGUGAAUUGAUUCAAGUAGUAAAAUGUCUCAUUUGCUAUGAUACCUGGGUGAGUAUUUAACUUCUGAUCAUUCUGCUAAUAUUUCCAAGAGCUGUGUUAAUUCAAUGAUAAUUACAUAUUAAUCAAAUGUAUUUAUGCUCCUUUUGGAUCUGUCCCAUUCUAUGGACAAUAGUAUCACUUUAUUAUAACUGAGAUUCUCCAUUUAGGGUAGAAGAAAAAUAGAUUAUAUAAGCACAUGGUGCAAAAUUCAAAAUUUAAGAAAAGCUGCAUGGACUUUCAGUUUCCAUUUCAGCAUGUAAAUAGCUUGAAAGUUGUCUCUCCCACCAUCAAAACAUGAAAAAAGAUGGCCAACUGAAAAAUCAAUGAAUUUUCUUAGAUCCAUCAGAGAAUUGGGGUUACAGGACUAACCACCACCUCAAAAACAGGAGAGACAGAAGAACGAAUCAACCUACCUUUAGCAAAAGCAUGGCGAGAACACUUAAUAACUUGAAUAAUUGCUAGAAGCUAUGUGAACUAGCUUGAGAGUUACAAACUCCUGGGAACCCCCAUACUUGUACUCUUUCCUGAGAUAUAAAAUCUUGGAAACCUCGUAGGUUAUCAUGGUGAAGAUCAGAGGAAACUCCCUCCAUGUCUGGCUAGGGGAAGAGGGAAAGUAACUCUCGAGAUAAGCCCAGAACUUUUUCUAACAAAGCCCUAUCCAACAGGGAAAAAAAUGGGAGACUAUCAGGCUUGGGGCAAGCAUAGUUACCUAAUUUCCUUUUAGCCUUCAAGUCUCACCUAAGGGAGAAAACUCCAGGAAGCUCUUGUAACAGUUGCAGCCCAGGAGUACAGGCCCACUAAAUAGUGGUCAUCACUACUGAGCCCAUGAAUAUGAAAAGGGUAGAAAAGGAAUAUUAUGAGCAUCUCUAUGCCCACAAAUGUAAUGACUUAGAUGGACCAAUUUCAUGAAAGACAAAAGUUACCAAAAUUCACACAAGGAGAAAUGGAUACUCUGAAUAGGACUGUAUCUAUUAACUAAGUUAAUAAUUACUAACCUUCCGAAACAGAAAAUAUCAGGCUAAGAUGGUUUCACUGGUGAAUUCUACCAAACUUAGGAGAAAUGAUACAAAUUCUCUAGUCUCUUCCAGAAAAUAGAAGUACAUCAUUCUCUGAGGCCAUCAUUACCCUAAUACCAAAACCAGACUAAUAUUACAAGAAAGGAAAGCUACAAUAGCUCAAAACCAAAGAUACAGGCAUACCUUGGAGAUACUGCAAGUAAUCUUACAGACCAGUGAUGAUAAAAUAGAUAUCUCAAUAAAGGAAAUCAGUAUUUUGCACUCCUCCAUUCCCUCUGAUGCAGCAGAAUUUGAGCUUCCUGUUCCCACAAUCUUCGUCUCUGCUGGAUGUGUUUCUGAUUUCAGAGUAAAAUUCUUUCAUCAAGGGCUACAACAAAUGGUCUGAUAAACUGGAGGUUGAGCUUGGCACCUGGCCCUUUGAGCUUCUACUGCCAGUGAACCACCAGAGGAAUGAUCACAACGGAGGCAGGGAGGACAAUGACUGCAACACAGGAGAGUCUCUGAAGCGCCUUUUGGAACUCGUGUGUCUGUGAUAAAAUGAAUGGAAAACUGCAUCAACUGCUAAUGAGUCCAGACUUUUAGGAAUGACAGUUUCCAUCACCUCAGUAGGGAACAAUCUAAGACCAGUUAAAGUGCUUACUAAGAAUAAAGAGGUAUGGAAUGGAUAGUGCCAGAAGGAAGAUAGAAUUACCAGCAAUGACUGUAUGUUCAGUUGCAGACAAGGACUGUAGCAGUUACGAGUAUUUCAUCCCAGCUUUGAAAUAAAUGUGUAUAUUCUUUUCUUGA